This 877-nucleotide ribosomal RNA is filed under the name uncultured eukaryote. Its description in RNAcentral is "SSU rRNA". It matches the Rfam family "Eukaryotic small subunit ribosomal RNA", at positions 636 to 1469 of the family's 1831-position model. The record is from RNAcentral.
CGGUGUUCAACUGGCGUGUCCGCGGGACGUCCUGCCGGUGGGCUUAGCCCGCAAGGGCGGCCCAACUUCAAAUCCCAUCGCGGUGCUCUUCACUGAGUGUCGAGGUGGGCCGGCACGUUUACUUUGGACAAAUUAGAGUGCUUAAAGCAGGCUAAAACUUCGCCUGAAUACUGUGUGCAUGGAAUAAUGGAAUAGGACCUCGGUUCUAUUUUGUUGGUUUUCGGAACCCCGAGGUAAUGAUUAAUAGGAACGGAUGGGGGCAUUCGUAUUGCGACGUUAGAGGUGAAAUUCUUGGAUCGUCGCAAGACGGACAGAAGCGAAAGCAUUUGCCAAAAACGCUUUCAUUGAUCAAGAACGAAAGUUAGAGGUUCGAAGGCGAUCAGAUACCGCCCUAGUUCUAACCAUAAACGAUGCCAGCUAGCGAUCCGUCGACGUUCCUCCGAUGACUCGACGGGCAGCUUCCGGGAAACCAAAGCUUUUGGGUUCCGGGGGAAGUAUGGUUGCAAAGCUGAAACUUAAAGGAAUUGACGGAAGGGCACCACCAGGAGUGGAGCCUGCGGCUUAAUUUGACUCAACACGGGAAACCCCACCAGGCCCGGACACCGGAAGGAUUGACAGAUUGAGAGCUCUUUCUUGAUUCGGUGGGUGGUGGUGCAUGGCCGUUCUUAGUUGGUGGAGCGAUUUGUCUGGUUAAUUCCGAUAACGAACGAGACUCUAGCCUGCUAACUAGGCGUAUUUUCGACAUCUCAAAGGUCCGUCGUCCCGGCCCUCGGGUCGUGGGCGUGCGCGAUUUUUACUGUCGGCGUACUAUCAAUUCUUCUUAGAGGGACAGGUGGCUUCUAGCCGCACGAGAUUGAGCAAUAACAGGUCUGUGAUG